RNAcentral lists this unclassified non-coding RNA (335 nucleotides) under Hevea brasiliensis (rubber tree). Lineage: Eukaryota; Viridiplantae; Streptophyta; Magnoliopsida; Malpighiales; Euphorbiaceae. The record is from RNAcentral.
UGAGCUCGUUGGUAAGGAUCAGAAGGCAAAAAGAGAGAUUUAUGAUUCCAAACCUCAUCAAUAUAUUGGACGAUGAUCAAUGACUCGCAAAUGGGCCUGCCAUUAUGGAUCAAGACAGGGAUUUGUUUAUUAACUGGGUUCAUCUGCAAAAGAAGAGAGCUCUUGUUAGUGACAUCUUCUUCCCUUGCCUCGUACAGAAUUCCCUUCUCAGCCAAGGCGAUUCUAACCCUGGCUGCAAAAGGACUGAAUUGGGUUUCCAGAAGAACUACUUCAUCUGCCAUUACUGCAAAAUCCAACCGAGAUUAUUUCUACUUUUGUUUAACCUUGAAGGCCUG